CCAUCUUACAUUUAAACACUUCAACUGAGACUUGUAUCGUUUAAACACCUGUAGUAGGGCCGUUGUGGCAUUUUGACCCCGAACCAAAACAUACCACGGUGAACAUGGAAGCACAACAAUAAGACACGAAUAACACUAGGUAGACCCUAUCGACAGACACCUAAAGUUGGCACCAUCUUCCACUAAGACACUUUAAUCGAGACUUGUAUCGUUUAAACACCUAUAGUAGGACCGUCAUGAAGAACAUGGAAGCACGACAAUAAGACACGAAUAACGCUAGGUUGAACAUAUCGACAGACACCUAAAGUUGACACCAUAUUCCACUUAGACGCUUCAACUCAGACUUGUACUGUUUAAACACCUGUAGUAGGGCCGUUGUGGCAUUUUGACCUCGAACCAAAACAUACCACGGUGAACAUGGAAGCACAACAAUAAGACACGAAUAACACUAG
RNAcentral lists this long non-coding RNA (452 nucleotides) under Capsicum annuum. RNAcentral describes it as "long non-coding RNA (CANN_LNC021705)". The record is from RNAcentral. Lineage: Eukaryota; Viridiplantae; Streptophyta; Magnoliopsida; Solanales; Solanaceae.